Molecule: ribosomal RNA, 785 nt
Filed under: uncultured bacterium
Lineage: Bacteria
Description: bacterial SSU rRNA
Rfam family: Bacterial small subunit ribosomal RNA
Source: RNAcentral
AGAGUUUGAUCCUGGCUCAGAUUGAACGCUGGCGGAAUGCUUUACACAUGCAAGUCGAGCGGCAGCGCGGGGCAACCUGGCGGCGAGCGGCGAACGGGUGAGUAACACAUCGGAACGUACCCUAUCGUGGGGGAUAACGAAUCGAAAGAUUCGCUAAUACCGCAUACGACCUGAGGGUGAAAGCGGGGGAUCGCAAGACCUCGCGCGAUUGGAGCGGCCGAUGUCGGAUUAGCUAGUUGGUAGGGUAAAGGCCUACCAAGGCGACGAUCCGUAGCUGGUCUGAGAGGACGACCAGCCACACUGGGACCGAGACACGGCCCAGACUCCUACGGGAGGCAGCAGUGGGGAAUUUUGGACAAUGGGGGCAACCCUGAUCCAGCCAUGCCGCGUGAGUGAAGAAGGCCUUCGGGUUGUAAAGCUCUUUCAGCCGGGAAGAAAACGCAUGGGUUAAUACCCUGUGUGGAUGACGGUACCGGAAUAAGAAGCACCGGCUAACUACGUGCCAGCAGCCGCGGUAAUACGUAGGGUGCGAGCGUUAAUCGGAAUUACUGGGCGUAAAGCGUGCGCAGGCGGUUUUGUAAGACAGGCGUGAAAUCCCCGGGCUCAACCUGGGAACUGCGUUUGUGACUGCAAGGCUAGAGUAUGGCAGAGGGGGGUGGAAUUCCACGUGUAGCAGUGAAAUGCGUAGAGAUGUGGAGGAACACCGAUGGCGAANGCAGCCCCCUGGGCCAAUACUGACGCUCAUGCACGAAAGCGUGGGUAGCAAACAGGAUUAGAUACCCUGG